Molecule: ribosomal RNA, 497 nt
Filed under: Proteus mirabilis
Lineage: Bacteria; Pseudomonadati; Pseudomonadota; Gammaproteobacteria; Enterobacterales; Morganellaceae
Description: bacterial SSU rRNA
Rfam family: Bacterial small subunit ribosomal RNA
Source: RNAcentral
CACAAUGGGCGCAAGCCUGAUGCAGCCAUGCCGGGUGUAUGAAGAAGGCCUUAGGGUUGUAAAGUACUUUCAGCGGGGAGGAAGGUGAUAAGGUUAAUACCCUUAUCAAUUGACGUUACCCGCAGAAGAAGCACCGGCUAACUCCGUGCCAGCAGCCGCGGUAAUACGGAGGGUGCAAGCGUUUUUCGGAAUUACUGGGCGUAAAGCGCACGCAGGCGGUCAAUUAAGUCAGAUGUGAAAGCCCCGAGCUUAACUUGGGAAUUGCAUCUGAAACUGGUUGGGUAGAGUCUUGUAGAGGGGGGUAGAAUUCCAUGUGUAGCGGUGAAAUGCGUAGAGAUGUGGAGGAAUACCGGUGGCGAAGGCGGCCCCCUGGACAAAGACUGACGCUCAGGUGCGAAAGCGUGGGGAGCAAACAGGAUUAGAUACCUUGGUAGUCCACGCUGUAAACGAUGUCGAUUUAGAGGUUGUGGUCUUGAACCGUGGCUUCUGGAGCUAAC